RNAcentral lists this ribosomal RNA (591 nucleotides) under uncultured Cenococcum. RNAcentral describes it as "eukaryotic LSU rRNA". The stretch from base 212 to 365 matches the Rfam family "5.8S ribosomal RNA". Lineage: Eukaryota; Fungi; Ascomycota; Dothideomycetes; Gloniales; Gloniaceae. The record is from RNAcentral.
AUUCUUGGUCAUUUAGAGGAAGUAAAAGUCGUAACAAGGUUUCCGUAGGUGAACCUGCGGAAGGAUCAUUACAGAAAGUAAACGCGGAUCGAACCGCGAACUUCUAAACCUUUGACGAUUGACUCAUGUUGCCUCGGCGGGUUCUCCCGCCAGAGGAUACAUCAAAACUCCUGUUUUAACGGUGUUGUCUGAGCUACAAGCAACGAAUCAAAACUUUCAACAACGGAUCUCUUGGUUCUGGCAUCGAUGAAGAACGCAGCGAAAUGCGAUAAGUAGUGUGAAUUGCAGAAUUCAGUGAAUCAUCGAAUCUUUGAACGCACAUUGCGCCCCUUGGUAUCCCGAGGGGCAUGCCUGUUCGAGCGUCAUUUCACCACUCAAGCCUGGCUUGGUGUUGGGCGACGUCCCCUUUGGGGACGCGCCUCGAAACGCUCGGCGGCGUGGCACCGGCUUUAAGCGUAGCAGAAUCUUUCGCUUUAAAAGUCGGGGCCCCGUCUGCCGGAAGACCUACUCGCAAGGUUGACCUCGGAUCAGGCAGGGAUACCCGCUGAACUUAAGCAUAUCAAUAAGCGGAGGAAAAGAAACCAACCAAUC